This 161-nucleotide unclassified non-coding RNA is filed under the name uncultured fungus. RNAcentral describes it as "sequence contains ITS1, 5.8S rRNA gene". The record is from RNAcentral. Lineage: Eukaryota; Fungi.
CCGAGUACCGGAGCCCUCGGGUUCCUACUCCCACCCUAUGUUGACUUUACAUGUUGCUUUGGCGGACCGGGUUAAACCGCCGGCCCCGGCUGGAUAGCGUCCGCCAGAGGAUUUUUAAAAACUCUGUAAUUGUGAAUUCCGAGUAUCAAGAAAUUGAAUCA